This 1468-nucleotide small RNA is filed under the name Oryza sativa Japonica Group (Japanese rice). RNAcentral describes it as "sRNA Os07g0143500". The stretch from base 312 to 411 matches the Rfam family "mir-160 microRNA precursor family". Lineage: Eukaryota; Viridiplantae; Streptophyta; Magnoliopsida; Poales; Poaceae. The record is from RNAcentral.
AUGCAAACAUGCACCAUUUCACAGCAUUAGCACAACAAACACACCAUGCUCUAUCCUCCAUGUAUCCAUAUCCAUAUCCAUCCAUCCAUCCAUCCAUCUUCUCUUCUAGCUAGCCAUGCAUAUCCACUUUGAAAGGGAGAAAAGAAAGAGUGACAUAGUUUUAAGAGAGACAUAUAGAUAUAGGUAGUGUUCAUGGUGUUAAUUUAGAUGUAGUUAGUUUGGUGUGGCAAUAUGGCGGCAUUGGAGGGGAGAUAUAUGUGUGUGUGUGUUUGGUACUUUGGGUGAUUGUGAAGGUGAUGAAAAGGUAGGGGAUAUGCCUGGCUCCCUGUAUGCCGCUCGCAUGGCUGCCAACCCAAUGAACUCGAUCUCGUUGUUGGCCGCUGCGUACGGCGUGCGAGGUGCCAAGCAUGGCCCUCUUCCCUUCUCUCUUUCUCUCUCUACAUCUCUCUCUUCUUUCUUGUUGCAUUGCAUGUUUUAUAUAUCCUUAGAAUGCUUGUUUUCUUUUCUUGUUAAGUAAUCAUUCACAUGGAUCUAGCUAGUGCAUGCACGAAUUUUGAGUUAAAAAAAAACAAUCAGUGGAUAUGAACAUGACAGUGCAUAUAUAUAUACAGCAUUUACAUCAUUGCAUGCCCGAGCUAGUCUAAUUUUUGGAAUUUCUCUGAAGUCAGAUAGCUAGCCUUUGUAGAUUAAUUAUAUAUUACUGUGUGCAUUGCAUGCAUUUGCAUUUACUCGCUGCGUUUCUGAUGUAUAUAUACGUACUCCUACAUUGUUUAUCUUGUGAUGAAAUCAAGAUCAUGCAUGUGAACUAAUAUGAUAGAUUAAUUAUAGUAGUAUAAUUUUCAAUACUGCCUUGUAAAUAACUUUUAUUUCUUUUAAUGGAAAAAAUACGCUCCUUGCGUAUUCCCGAAAAUAAUUUUCAAUACUGAAACCUUUGCUCAGUUCUGAACUUGCUGCAGUUAGAGCAAAAUAAUGUGCCAAUCAGUUCGAAUAUCUUGCCUGCAUGCAUGCAUGCCGCCGUUGAGUCAGGUUGACGGCCGGCGCCGCGCCGCACUCCGGCGAGAGCUGCACACCGCCGCCGGCCGCCGCCUCAAUCCGUCCAUGGCAGACAGAGAUCGAUAGGCCGCCGCCUGCGCAGAAGAGAACACAGGGACGCGUCCGAGCAUGCCGAACGUCGGAAGUUCCAUCCCGCCGAUGAAGGCGGUGGCUGCCGGAGAACCCGGCCGGCCGGAGGCGCCGCAAUGUCGCCGGAGAGAGAGGAGAUGGGGUGUGGUUGUACAAUUUGAACUUAUUGAGGGGGCUUUCUGAAAAAAUAGAUGUACUUCUUCCUUCCUACUAGCCGCCCAAUUAUUCGGCACACAUACUCUAUAAUAUUGUACAAUUUAAAGGAAAAAGGAUGCAUUUUAUAGAUUGAUGUGACCAGGGUUGGAAAUUUCGGACCGAAAUUUCUGAACUUUCGGUCAUUUCGUUC